AACGAACGCUGGCGGCAGGCUUAACACACGCAAGUCGAACGCUCCGCAAGGAGAGUGGCAGACGGGUGAGUAACACGUGGGAACGUACCCUUUACUACGGAACAACUCCGGGAAACUGGAGCUAAUACCGUAUGUGCCCUUUGGGGGAAAGAUUUAUCGGUAAAGGAUCGGCCCGCGUUGGAUUAGCUAGUUGGUGGGGUAAAGGCCUACCAAGGCGACGAUCCAUAGCUGGUCUGAGAGGAUGAUCAGCCACAUUGGGACUGAGACACGGCCCAAACUCCUACGGGAGGCAGCAGUGGGGAAUAUUGGACAAUGGGCGCAAGCCUGAUCCAGCCAUGCCGCGUGUGUGAUGAAGGCCUUAGGGUUGUAAAGCACUUUCACCGGAGAAGAUAACGACGGUAUCCGGAGAAGAAGCCCCGGCUAACUUCGUGCCAGCCGCCGCGGUAA
RNAcentral lists this ribosomal RNA (447 nucleotides) under uncultured bacterium. RNAcentral's name for it is "partial 16S ribosomal RNA". It matches the Rfam family "Bacterial small subunit ribosomal RNA", at positions 29 to 523 of the family's 1533-position model. The record is from RNAcentral.